This 317-nucleotide unclassified non-coding RNA is filed under the name Hevea brasiliensis (rubber tree). The record is from RNAcentral. Lineage: Eukaryota; Viridiplantae; Streptophyta; Magnoliopsida; Malpighiales; Euphorbiaceae.
GGGACACCUGCCACAUGUAGAUAGAGAAUUAGAGAUUACACUACUUAUCAUCUCUUGCUGAGAUAGCACACCUUAAUUCUAAAGCUUUUCCAUGUCUAAGGUAGACAGAAAAAGAUUUUUUUUAAGGCCUAUAAAUUAAAAUCUCAAAUAGAAAAAUAUACCUUCCAUGCUUGUUCGGUAUAUAUAAAAUUCAAGCAUUACUUCCUACACAACAGAUAUGCAUUAGGCUUACGUAAUCUAGUUUUAACAUACUGUCAUCAGUACUUGAGUUUCCAUUCUAAUUAUGGAACAAAAGAAAGUUUUUAACCUGAACCCAG